CAGCAGCCACGGUAAUACGAAGGGUGCAAGCGUUACUCGGAAUUACUGGGCGUAAAGCGUGCGUAGGUGGUGGUUUAAGUCCGUUGUGAAAGCCCUGGGCUCAACCUGGGAAUUGCAGUGGAUACUGGGUCGCUAGAGUGUGGUAGAGGAUAGUGGAAUUUCCGGUGUAGCAGUGAAAUGCGUAGAGAUCGGAAGGAACAUCUGUGGCGAAGGCGACUAUCUGGGCCAACACUGACACUGAGGCACGAAAGCGUGGGGAGCAAACAGGAUUAGAUACCCCGGUAGUCCCUGUCUCUUAUAC
RNAcentral lists this ribosomal RNA (301 nucleotides) under uncultured bacterium. RNAcentral describes it as "partial 16S ribosomal RNA". It matches the Rfam family "Bacterial small subunit ribosomal RNA", at positions 509 to 807 of the family's 1533-position model. The record is from RNAcentral.